AACGAACGCUGGCGGCAGGCCUAACACAUGCAAGUCGAGCGAGACCUUCGGGUCUAGCGGCGGACGGGUUAGUAACGCGUGGGAACGUGCCCUUCUCUGCGGAAUAGCCACUGGAAACGGUGAGUAAUACCGCAUACGCCCUUCGGGGGAAAGAUUUAUCGGAGAAGGAUCGGCCCGCGUUAGAUUAGAUAGUUGGUGGGGUAACGGCCUACCAAGUCUACGAUCUAUAGCUGGUUUUAGAGGAUGAUCAGCAACACUGGGACUGAGACACGGCCCAGACUCCUACGGGAGGCAGCAGUGGGGAAUCUUAGACAAUGGGCGCAAGCCUGAUCUAGCCAUGCCGCGUGUGUGAUGAAGGUCUUAGGAUCGUAAAGCACUUUCGCCAGGGAUGAUAAUGACAGUACCUGGUAAAGAAACCCCGGCUAACUCCGUGCCAGCCGCCGCCGUAACAC
Molecule: ribosomal RNA, 452 nt
Filed under: uncultured bacterium
Lineage: Bacteria
Description: bacterial SSU rRNA
Rfam family: Bacterial small subunit ribosomal RNA
Source: RNAcentral